GACGAACGCUGGCGGCGCGCCUAACACAUGCAAGUCGAGCGAGAACCAGAGCUUCGGCUCUGGGGAAAGCGGCGAACGGGUGAGUAACACGUGGGUAAUCUGCCCUCGGCAUCGGGAUAGCCCGGGGAAACCCGGAUUAAUACCGAAUGGCCUCUCGCACUUUCGGGUGCGAAAGAAAAGGUGGCUUCGGCUUCUGGCCGAGGAUGAGCCCGCGGCCGAUUAGCUUGUUGGUGAGGUAAUGGCUCACCAAGGCUCCGAUCGGUAGCUGGUCUGAGAGGACGAUCAGCCACACUGGGACUGAGACACGGCCCAGACUCCUACGGGAGGCUG
This 330-nucleotide ribosomal RNA is filed under the name uncultured Acidobacteriota bacterium. RNAcentral's name for it is "bacterial SSU rRNA". It matches the Rfam family "Bacterial small subunit ribosomal RNA", at positions 28 to 351 of the family's 1533-position model. Lineage: Bacteria; Pseudomonadati; Acidobacteriota. The record is from RNAcentral.